GGCCCGGUAGCCAAGUGGUAAGGCAGGAGUCUGCAAAACUCUCACCGCCGGUUCGAUUCCGACUCGGGCCUCCA
RNAcentral lists this transfer RNA (74 nucleotides) under candidate division WWE3 bacterium CG_4_9_14_0_2_um_filter_35_11. RNAcentral describes it as "tRNA-Cys". It matches the Rfam family "tRNA". Rfam says of the family: Transfer RNA (tRNA) molecules are approximately 80 nucleotides in length. Their secondary structure includes four short double-helical elements and three loops (D, anti-codon, and T loops). RNAcentral also lists the same sequence under 1 other name. Lineage: Bacteria; candidate division WWE3. The record is from RNAcentral.